UGCCAGCCGCCGCGGUAAUACGGAAGGUCCAAGCGUUAAUCGGAAUUACUGGGCGUAAAGCGCGCGUAGGUGGUUUAUUAAGUUGGAUGUGAAAUCCCCGGGCUCAACCUGGGAACUGCAUCCAAAACUGAUUCACUAGAGUACGAUAGAGGGAGGUAGAAUUCACAGUGUAGCGGUGGAAUGCGUAGAUAUUGUGAAGAAUACCAAUGGCGAAGGCAGCCUCCUGGAUCUGUACUGACACUGAGGUGCGAAAGCGUGGGUAGCGAACAGGAUUAGAUA
This 279-nucleotide ribosomal RNA is filed under the name uncultured bacterium. RNAcentral's name for it is "partial 16S ribosomal RNA". It matches the Rfam family "Bacterial small subunit ribosomal RNA", at positions 506 to 784 of the family's 1533-position model. The record is from RNAcentral.